RNAcentral lists this small nucleolar RNA (107 nucleotides) under Nicotiana tabacum (common tobacco). RNAcentral's name for it is "Plant small nucleolar RNA R71". It matches the Rfam family "Plant small nucleolar RNA R71". Rfam says of the family: R71 is a member of the C/D box family of snoRNAs containing the C (UGAUGA) and D (CUGA) box motifs. Multiple nearly identical copies of this snoRNA have been identified in Arabidopsis, and it is thought to function as a 2'-O-ribose methylation guide for 18S ribosomal RNA. Lineage: Eukaryota; Viridiplantae; Streptophyta; Magnoliopsida; Solanales; Solanaceae. The record is from Rfam by way of RNAcentral.
UUAUUAUGAUGAGGAUAAUCUAGAAGCAGCCCCUUGAACCUCUCCCAGACAGAAUAUAAAGACUCGCCUUUCUUCUGUUUAAAAGAGACUAUCUCACUUCUAAUUUU